This is a long non-coding RNA of Vespula vulgaris, 1384 nucleotides long. RefSeq lists it as uncharacterized. The transcript is spliced from 3 exons. NCBI's taxonomy places the organism in Eukaryota, Metazoa, Arthropoda, Insecta, Hymenoptera, Vespidae. The record is from RefSeq and is a predicted model, not a curated record.
CUUCUCUACGUUUGUCACUCGGCACUCAAGAUAGACGAAGGACUCGAACUAAGGAGGAGGAGGAGGAGGAGGAGGAAGAAGAAGAAAACGAAGAAGAAAAAGAAAGCACGAAGUUUCCUUCAGAGACGAUGACUCCCGGCUGGCUGGUCCUCUCGCUCCACCCUGCUAUUUCUGAUGCCUUGUCAACGACACACGCUUGAACGAACGACGAAGAAGACGAGUUAGGAAGGAGAAAGAGAAAGAACUGGUGGAGCAAGAGGAGAGAAACCCUCCGGCUCGCCGGUUUGAGAACGACGUACUCGAAACCCUGUGGUCUUCGUCGUCUUCGUCGGAUGAUUUAAGAAUCAACUUUGGCCCAACUCGACCUCCUUCUUCCACAUAAAAGUCGACACCUACGACGUUUAUUGUUCCCUACGAGCUUUCUGUUUUUUUCUUUUUAUUUCUCUCUUUUUUUUACUACCCUUCUCUUUCAAUAAAAUCAAGAAUCGAUUUUUAAAGCUUUCUUCUUUUCUUUUCUUUUCAAUUACGUUAAAAGACAAUGAAAUAUCUUUCUAAUCGAUAUAUUCUUCUAAUAAGAAAAAGAAUGCGACGAGUUCUUCUUUCUUACAAAGUAAUCGACAAGGUCUGACGUUUUUGUUCUUUCGAUAGGAUCGAACGUUCUAUUCGUGAAACUCUCGACGCUAAAAAAAAGAGAAAGGGAAAAGGAAAAAGAAAAGGAAAAAGGAAAUAGUAAAAAGAAAGGAGAGAGGAAAAAGCGAUAGGAAUUAACGCGACGUAUCGAAUAAAACGAUGAAAAUCGAAAUCCGUUGUUCGUACGUAGGCAAUACGUCCGACGAGAAUGCACCUGCCGAUAGGCAACACGCGUUACGGGUUCUCGUUCGACAUUUACAACACACGACUCGUGCGCGCUACAGUCAUCGUCAUCGGCUCCAUCGAUCGGACAUUCUCUCGUCUCUCUUCUCUCUGUUACUUUCUGCUGGGGAUGAGGUGUGUAUCACCGUGUAUGGGAGGAGUCACAAUAUAUAUCGUACCGACCGAUGAAAUAAUAAUUAGUCGAAUAAAUCGACGUUCGAAGAUAAAAUUUCAAAAAAAAAAGACAAAAUAAAAAACAAUAAAAAGUAAUAAAAAGAAUUCCAUCGUGGUGCUACCAACCAUUGGAAACAUUUAUCACGAAAAACGACACUUUCGAAUAAAAUUCUAUUUUGCGAGAUGCGUCAGCUUUCAUUUGAAUUUUCUCAAAAAGGUAGAUACGAAGGUGUUCGUCGACCCACCUACGAGAAAUGACUGAUUUUUUUACGUCGAGGAAGAUUCGAAAAAGGCAUUGGCCGACGCGUUCCGUUACGUCAGACGAAAACUCUCUGCGAGAUCUUAUGGGACGCUCUUU